This 147-nucleotide ribosomal RNA is filed under the name Hesperocyparis arizonica. Its description in RNAcentral is "5.8S ribosomal RNA". It matches the Rfam family "5.8S ribosomal RNA". Rfam says of the family: 5.8S ribosomal RNA (5.8S rRNA) is a component of the large subunit of the eukaryotic ribosome. It is transcribed by RNA polymerase I as part of the 45S precursor that also contains 18S and 28S rRNA. Lineage: Eukaryota; Viridiplantae; Streptophyta; Pinopsida; Cupressales; Cupressaceae. The record is from RNAcentral.
AACGGAUAUCUCGGCUCUCGCCACGAUGAAGAAUGUAGCGAAAUGCGAUACUUAGUGUUGAAUUGCAAGAAUCCCGUGAUCAUCAAGUCUUUGGACGCAAGUUGCGCCCCGAGCCUCGGCCCAAGGGCACGUCUGCUUGGGCGUCGC